AUGAAUGAGUGCACAAGCAUGCGUGAACAUGGCUUCCCUGGUGACUCAGUGGUACAGAAUCCACCUUCUGAUGCAGGAGACACAAGAGACACAGAUGCUGAAAGUGCCUCUGUAGAGCCCACCCGUGCUCGAGGAGAGGAAAUAAUCAAGCUCAGAGUUGCAACCGCACCUGAAGACACUUGGACCAGAAGAGGUAGCAAUGUACCCUUUGGCCAUGACAGACACACAGCAUGCUGGUGCUCCUCCAUGUCAUCAUUUAGAUUUGCUUCAGCAAAAAAGAAUCCUGGAUCCUUUGCUUCUUUGAAAAUCAAUUGCCAGAAUGACUUGUACAUCUAAAAGUUGUGAUUAUGUCUCUCCAGUGUCUUGGGAAAUUCAAUGUUUUGAGUUCAAGAGAUCAGACUGCCUGCUGAGAAUCAAGCAUUCAGCAUCCCAUGAAAGCACUUGAUACUUUGAACCACUUCUUCACAACUUUACAUCCGUUUCACAGACAGCCAAAGGUCCCUGACUCCUCCUAGAGCUCCCAGGGACUCUUGAGAGGUUGGAAAGCCAUCGAGUAACUAAUGAGGGGAUCUUGCCCAUGGGCUGGAGGUCUUCCACUUCCAGCAUCCAUUUUCAUUGCCUGCUGUGGCAUUUGCAUUCUCAAGUUAGCCUUUCAGAGUUCAAUCAAGUUCACUCUCAGUGGCCGCUUACUAACUGUAGCCAACUAGAAAACCUAUGACAUAGUCUACUGGGAGAUAGACUGAGAAUUGAAUUGUGUCCCUCCCACUACCACCAGCAACAAAAAAUUAAAGUCCUAAACCCCUGCACCUGUG
RNAcentral lists this long non-coding RNA (812 nucleotides) under Bos indicus x Bos taurus (hybrid cattle). RNAcentral's name for it is "lncRNA (ENSBIXG00005000738.1)". The record is from RNAcentral. Lineage: Eukaryota; Metazoa; Chordata; Mammalia; Artiodactyla; Bovidae.